GAUGAAGAACGUAGCAAAAUGCGAUACUUGGUGUGAAUUGCAGAAUCCCGUGAACCAUCGAGUUUUUGAAUGCAAGUUGCGCCCGAAACCAUCCGGUUGAGGGCACGCCUGCCUGGGCGUCACGCAUCGCGUCGUCCCCCAACAUACUCUCCCUUUCUGGGUUGUCAUGUUGAUUGGGGACGGAGACUGGCCUCCCGUGCUUCUGGUGCGGUUGGCCUAAAUAGGAGGCCCCUUCGGUGGAUACACGGCUAGUGGUGGUUGUUAAGACCCUCGUAUUGUGCUGUGUGUUGCGAGCUGUUAGGGAAACCCUCACCAAAGACCCUAUUGUAUCGUCUUGGUACGAUGCUUCGACCGCGCCCCCAGGUCAGGCGGGACUACCCGCUGAGUUUAAGCAUAUCAAUAAGCGGAGGA
This 411-nucleotide unclassified non-coding RNA is filed under the name soil metagenome. RNAcentral describes it as "partial contains 5.8S ribosomal RNA, internal transcribed spacer 2, and large subunit ribosomal RNA". The stretch from base 1 to 122 matches the Rfam family "5.8S ribosomal RNA", at positions 35 to 154 of the family's 154-position model. The record is from RNAcentral.